UUGUGGAGGUACAAGACGGACGUUAUGUCAAAUAGGAAUUCCUGCAUGCGGUGACCCAGGUGAACCUUUGCAUGGUAAUCGUUUACCAGACGAUAGAACGACCUACUCUGUCGAUGCCACUCUUCAUUUCACCUGUCAGGAGGGCUAUACAUUAUCUGGAGAAAGUGUUUUAAGGUGUAUGAAUAAUGGAGCAUGGAAUCAUCAAAGACCAUCGUGUGAAGCUGUCGAGUGUGAGGGAAGCCCACCAGACGUCGCCCUUGCAUCCAACAUGAUACUAGGAUCAGCGUAUCAAGAUAUAGCUCUAUACACCUGUCAAGAUGAUUAUAUUCCUGAUAAUGAACCAAUCAGCUUCUGUCAGCAUACAGGCACAUGGAGUCCCCCUAACUUUACUUGUUCAGGUAAGAUG
Molecule: long non-coding RNA, 406 nt
Organism: Strongylocentrotus purpuratus (purple sea urchin)
Lineage: Eukaryota; Metazoa; Echinodermata; Echinoidea; Camarodonta; Strongylocentrotidae
Exons: 3
Source: RefSeq, a predicted model, not a curated record